AUCAGGUCCGCGGGCUCCGCG
RNAcentral lists this unclassified non-coding RNA (21 nucleotides) under Mus musculus (house mouse). RNAcentral describes it as "oocyte_clustered_small_RNA176". The record is from RNAcentral. Lineage: Eukaryota; Metazoa; Chordata; Mammalia; Rodentia; Muridae.